RNAcentral lists this long non-coding RNA (1266 nucleotides) under Bos indicus x Bos taurus (hybrid cattle). RNAcentral describes it as "lncRNA (ENSBIXG00005021110.1)". The record is from RNAcentral. Lineage: Eukaryota; Metazoa; Chordata; Mammalia; Artiodactyla; Bovidae.
AUCCAGCAUACCACAUCUCUCAAAGGCUAAAAAGAAACUGUGCAGGUGUAGGCUUGCCUGAGAGCUGAGAAGAAAAUCUGGUCAUCAUAAGGCUCAACUGGUCUAGAAUAUCCACGAUGGCUCACUGGAGGUUCAACGGAUUUGGAAUGUCCCCGAUGGUGGCAGUUGGUCUAUGCUGUUGGCUGGAAUCUCAGACGAGCAAUAUCCCAGAUAACCCAUCAACCUGCAUCCUGGAGCUGAGGCACUCUAGCACCUGUCUGGUCUAAGAAAAGAACUCUCCUAUCUCCUGCAUGAGUGCGGUCAAGAAUCCUGACUCCCCGCAAGGAGUCUGAAGGGUCAAGUUUCAACCAAACAUUCAAUACAGAGAAAAGGACUAACUAGGACUUUGUACAAGUAUAGCAACAACCACAUGUAGAGUAACAAGCUGGACCAGCUGGAGAUAGGACACUGCUACUCAUUUAACCUCUCCUGGCCUCAGUUUCCUCUGGGUCUUCUGAGAAAUGCAGAAGAAAGCAAUACAUCCUAAUUUGUUGUGGAUUCAAAUCUGUCUCUGCACUUUAACAUUUGCGACCCUAGGGCAAGUCCCUCCUCUCAGAGUCUCACGCCUUUGCACACUGCUCUGAGCCACAAGUGAAAGGUACCAGGAGUACAGUUGAAAUUGCUGUGCAAAGUGCUAAAUGGAGAUAAGUGAUCAUCCGAUGGUACUGAUUUGGACUGUUGAUCCAUACGACCAUGAUAUUUUACAUGACACAGUUUGGUGGUAAAGAAUGUGACUGGAGCCAAAGUUCCUAGCUUGGAUGCUGGCUCUGCUAUUUGCUAUCAGUGUAGCCUUGGCAAAUAACAUAUAUUAUAUGCUCCCUAGUUUCCUUUUAUUUAACAAGGAGACAAUAAUAGUAUUUAAAUCACAGAAUUAUAAUUAAGAAUUACAUAAGUACACAUGAAAGGCAUAAAAGUGUUCCUGGCAAAAUCAACCAAUUAUAUAUUCAUUUACAUGAAAUUUAUAUAAAUCAAUAUCAUAUAUAUAAUAUGCUGAAAACUUGUUGGCAGUGAAUGGAAAAACCAGGAUGAUAUAGGGGGUCAUGAUGAGACCUGCUAGGCUGGGUAGUAGAUGAGGAUGGGUUCACCUUCCUCAUUUUCCCUUCUCCCACGCUCCAGAACCCUUUGUGAUUGUUCUGUAGCUCUGUGAAGCAGGUCUGGAAGUCCAGACCAGAGUGGGUAUUCUCUGUGUUCAGCUUCCUGGGGUAUAAGUACAUUUUAAGUGAUAGA